RNAcentral lists this transfer RNA (71 nucleotides) under archaeon. RNAcentral's name for it is "tRNA-Gly". It matches the Rfam family "tRNA". From Rfam's summary of the family: Transfer RNA (tRNA) molecules are approximately 80 nucleotides in length. The record is from RNAcentral.
GCGUGAGUAGUUCAGUGGCAGAAUGCGACCUUGCCAAGGUUGUGACCCGAGUCCGAAUCUCGGCUCGCGCA